Molecule: long non-coding RNA, 821 nt
Filed under: Gallus gallus (chicken)
Lineage: Eukaryota; Metazoa; Chordata; Aves; Galliformes; Phasianidae
Source: RNAcentral
CAAGGGACAGAAAUGGCUUCUGGAGAUAACUAAGCCACAGUUAAAAUAUCUGUUUUCCCAAAGAUGGAAGGCAGGUCUUGCAAUUUGUGUGCAAUGACCAUUCUGUGCCAUAAAAAGAACAGAGGUUCUCAAGCCAGGUGAAAAUUCAGAAGACUAUGGCUGUCCAAUUUGCUAUCAAGUCACCACAGGUAAGACAUCUAUUUAAAUACAUUCUUUUUCAACAGCAGACUUUCCUUCCUGAUUCCACAGCCUCAGCCCAGUUCAGUUUCAGGCCUGUUUCCCAAGCUGGUUUGAUGAAUGCUCUCAGAGUCCUUCGUCGUUGUAAACAGGAGAAAGGGGCUUGAGGAUGCUGCGAGCAUUGCUCUCCACGAGAGGCCUCCAGCUCACCUCACCCGUCAGCAGCAGGUCCUCCCCGCUCAGCGCAUCCAGGUGCUGCACCUGUUUGCGCACAUACUCUACGAGUAGCUCCAGAUGCCGAGGGUCCUCACAGUUCCUGUUAAAAAGGUUUCUCCACAGAGCUGCUGCCAGAACGUGAUCAUCAGACAGGAUUCCCUCAUCAUAUCCAAACAGAGCUGCAUAGAAAUUUUCUACCAUACUUCUCAAAUCUUGCUUUAGAACAACAGAAUUAAUCCCCAUCACCUUGCCACGCUGUUCAACAUCCUCCCACAUACAAUGAACGAUAUAGCGACACAUGUAUUUUCCUGCUCGACCCUCCUGCUUCAUUCGCACCAGACACAUCCAGACAUGAAGCUGGGCUACUAGAAACCAUGAAUUCAAUGUAUCGGGCAUUUGGCACCUGUUAAAAAAUUCCUCGUAGUCAG